CAGUCGCCACGGUAAUACAGAGGGUGCGAGCGUUAAUCGGAUUUACUGGGCGUAAAGCGCACGCAGGCGGUUUGUUAAGUCAGAUGUGAAAUCCCCGAGCUUAACUUGGGAACUGCAUUUGAAACUGGCAAGCUAGAGUCUUGUAGAGGGGGGUAGAAUUCCAGGUGUAGCGGUGAAAUGCGUAGAGAUCUGGAGGAAUACCGGUGGCGAAGGCGGCCCCCUGGACAAAGACUGACGCUCAGGUGCGAAAGCGUGGGGAGCAAACAGGAUUAGAUACCCCAGUAGUCCCUGUCUCUUAUAC
This 301-nucleotide ribosomal RNA is filed under the name uncultured bacterium. Its description in RNAcentral is "partial 16S ribosomal RNA". It matches the Rfam family "Bacterial small subunit ribosomal RNA", at positions 509 to 807 of the family's 1533-position model. The record is from RNAcentral.